GCCCGGGUGGCGGAAUUGGCAGACGCGCUCGUUUCAGGUGCGAGUAUUUAACAGAUGUGCAGGUUCAAGUCCUGUUCCGGGUA
This 83-nucleotide transfer RNA is filed under the name Tannerellaceae bacterium. RNAcentral's name for it is "tRNA-Leu". It matches the Rfam family "tRNA". Rfam says of the family: Transfer RNA (tRNA) molecules are approximately 80 nucleotides in length. Their secondary structure includes four short double-helical elements and three loops (D, anti-codon, and T loops). Lineage: Bacteria; Pseudomonadati; Bacteroidota; Bacteroidia; Bacteroidales; Tannerellaceae. The record is from RNAcentral.